Molecule: ribosomal RNA, 638 nt
Filed under: uncultured Acidobacteriota bacterium
Lineage: Bacteria; Pseudomonadati; Acidobacteriota
Description: bacterial SSU rRNA
Rfam family: Bacterial small subunit ribosomal RNA
Source: RNAcentral
CAUGCAAGUCGAACGCGAAAGUGGAGCAAUCCCCGAGUAGCGUGGCAAACGGGUGAGUAACGCGUGGGUGACCUGCCUCUCGAGUGGGGGAUAACGUUCCGAAAGGGACGCUAAUACCGCAUGACAUCCGGCCUUUGAAGAGGCGGAGAUCAAAGCUGGGGAUCGCAAGACCUAGCGCUCGAUGAGGGGCCCGCGUCUGAUUAGCUAGUUGGUGGGGUAACGGCUCACCAAGGCAACGAUCAGUAUCCGGCCUGAGAGGGCGGACGGACACACUGGGACUGAGACACGGCCCAGACUCCUACGGGAGGCAGCAGUGGGGAAUUGUUCGCAAUGGGCGCAAGCCUGACGACGCAACGCCGCGUGGAGGAUGAAGAUCUUCGGGUCGUAAACUCCUUUCGAUCGAGACGAACAGCCUUCGGGUAAACAAUCCGGAGGUCUGACGGUACCGAGAGAAGAAGCCCCGGCUAACUCCGUGCCAGCAGCCGCGGUAAUACGGGGGGGGCAAGCGUUGUUCGGAAUUACUGGGCGUAAAGGGCUCGUAGGCGGCCAACUAAGUCAGACGUGAAAUCCCUCGGCUUAACCGGGGAACUGCGUCUGAUACUGGAUGGCUUGAGUUUGGGAGAGGGAUGCGGAAUUCC